RNAcentral lists this long non-coding RNA (1135 nucleotides) under Ananas comosus (pineapple). Its description in RNAcentral is "long non-coding RNA (ACOM_LNC042625)". Lineage: Eukaryota; Viridiplantae; Streptophyta; Magnoliopsida; Poales; Bromeliaceae. The record is from RNAcentral.
UUGUAAUAUACCGAAACUUCAGUAGAAUACUCCGGACUUUAGCUAAAUGGACUAAAAUGUGCGAAGGAAAUAGUUGGACAAAGUCAAUUUGGCAUUCCAACAAUGUUGGAAAGGUUAAAAAUGAGUUUCAGAAGAGUUAGAAAGGUUUUAGCAUUGAUCGGCGCGAAAUAAAAUCGAAGAAGAUGCAAAACUGAAAUUCUGGGCAUUGUGUUACCGGUAAUACAUCGGGCUUAUACCGGUACCAAACAGCUGACCGAGAGCAGCAGAUCUCGGGUUUGAGAAAUUUUGGCUGUUAAACCGGUGACACCCCUUGUAACAUACCGGAUUUUAAUAUAAAAGCAAAAAUAAAAAAAAAUAGUGUGAGAUAUUAUUUUUAUUGGAUUUAGAGAAAUAAAAUAUAACUCAGGAAUGACUUGUGCUGAAAUCGGAAUGAAAACAGAAGAUUUAGAAUUUUUUGUGAGAAACAAAGUUGAUAUUUUAGCAGAAAAUGCACAGUGUCAGAAAAUUAUGAAAACUAGAGAUAUGUCGAAAAUAUUUUUGUGAGGCUAGAUUUAAAGUUUCAUGUCAAUCCGACACCCGAAAAGUAAAAAAUAAAAUCUAACUGCUAUCUGCUAGAGAUUACAGUUCGGUAGAGCUUUCGGUGACCAAAUGUGGUCGAAACUGAAAGAUUAAAAUUCUUUCGUUAAGUUAAGUAAAACCGAGCCUGACUGCCAAAUUUGAGCUCAAACGGAUAUUCAGAAGGGCAGGCGAAAAAUAUCUGUACCUGUGCUGAAAGUUGAAUAAUGUUGAGGGGCUUUGUAUAAAAAGGAUUUCUCCCCUUUUCUUCUCCUCCAUCAGCCCACGCACACAACACACGCACGCACACACCCUCUCCCUCUCCCUCUCCCUCACACUUGCAAAGAAGGAAGGAUCUCUCUCUCUCUUGAAGGUGGAAUCAAGAGAAGGAUUGGUGGAGAAGGAAUCAAGAAGGUGGAUCAUUUUUUUCUUCAUCUUCUUCCUCUCCAUUAGAGCUAGCCUGAGAGGUAAGCUUUGAUGCCGUUUAAUGGUAGAUUUCUAGGGUUGAGUUUUUAAGCUCUAGAAAUGGGUUUAAUUGAAUCCUAGGAUGUUAAAUGAAUGUAAAUUGCAUGAAUCAAGU